UUUAAAACACAAUUUAUCUUGAAUAAAACAGUAUUU
RNAcentral lists this small RNA (36 nucleotides) under Drosophila erecta. RNAcentral describes it as "GG27251". The record is from RNAcentral. Lineage: Eukaryota; Metazoa; Arthropoda; Insecta; Diptera; Drosophilidae.